CCACUGAGAUUCUGGGUGGGGCUGGUUGGUGUUGUUUGCUGUUGGAGAGGAUGGGAAUUGAGUGCACCCUUGGGGGGGCCCGCAGCUGUGGUACCAGCUGACAGUUACAAACACGCCUCGUGGACCGUGUUUUGUUACUAUAGUGUUCACCAUGGUGAUCAGAGGGCACCAGGAGAAAUGGAGCCCUUGGCCAGCGUGAGUCAUCACAGUGUAGGAGGGGAGACCCUGAAGGAGAGAGCCCACCUAAAUGGAUGCCUGCAGAUUGAAUUUCCAGAGGCUUAGGAGGAGGGAGUUCUCCAAUGUCGUGUUUCCAGGCCUCGCUCCGGAAGCCCUGUGUUCAGGAGGCCAUCAUUGAAGGUUUUCACAUGAGUUUAUGGGGGGCAAUCUUAAAAAAGCCAAAGCAGAUGCAUCAGGGGCCAUCAGCAGUUGUGUUUAUUUGACUGUUUGAUCCGGGAGCACCAACCUCUGGGCACGUGAAUGCCAGCAGGCACACCUUCUUCUCUAGAGUAGAGGUUUUCAGAUGCUGCAUCUUCUAAAUUGAGCCUCCUGUCAUACUAGUGCUGUGCUACAAAUCUUGCUUCGAGAAAAUUCUUAAGUUGUAGAACAUUUUAACAUUGAUGCCACAACACAGAGUGAUGCCUUGUAGAUGGAGCUUGCAGAUGGAGCCCAUUGACCCUCUCACCUACCCACCUACCUGCCUGGCUGUGCAUUGGUCGGAGGAAUUCUUAGUGUGAUGAUAUAACCUGUGUGGGAAAGUGUUCACGUUUGAAAUGCCUUAGCAAAUACUUAGAUGAAGAGACCGGCAAACUGAGAGGGAGGUCAUUGUGUUGUGCUACAGUCUGGGAGGGUACAAGUUGGUCAUGUCUAAAUUCUGCAUUAGAAAUGGCAGGUCUAGUUUGGGUAUUCCAAUCGCAUUGCAGAUCACUAAGAGAAAAGAAAGGUUGGGGUACUAAUAGUGAUCUUUGAUUCAUCUUGCUCUAUAUAUUUUUCAAUUUGAAUUUCACUUGAUUAGAUUUCUGAGUAAUCUUGGUGUUCAAAUGGGAAGACCCUGAGGUGACGGUUAUAGGAGGGGGAGGUCACAGCUUGGCACUGGUACUGGGAGGGGUGGGGGUGGAGAAAGGGAGGGAGCUGGUUAGGUAUAUGUUGCAGAGGGUGGGGGUGGUAGGGAAUGUGGGUCGAAGGGAAUUUUCCAGAGAAAAGAUCAGUAGGCAGAGAUCUGGGGAAUUUAAUAGAGCUCAUGGGCAAAGAAAAUGCUAGUUAAUGCUAGUAAAUUAUUAAUCCUAACUAAAUUGUUGCUUGGGAACUUUCUAGAGUGCUUAGAACUCUAAGUGCAAGGAAAAAAGUAAAAUUGUUUUGCUUUGCUGCAAGGUGGGAAAGACUGAAAAGGUGUAACUGAAAACCUGAAUAUCAGUCUCUUGAAAGAUGGGUGUGCAAAACUUGCAUCAGCAGGAGAUUAACAUCCUUCACUGCUUUGCAAGCUUCCUAAGUGGUUUAUCUGAAGCUGCGAAGGUGUGCGAUAUUCAGGAGCAGUAAGUCUUAGAAAAAGACUUUAAGUGUUCAAAUUGUGGGCUUUUAAAGCAUUUAAGUUUGAGAUUUUGAUGUACACUGAAGAUAAGAUUAGAUGUACUCUUCUGGGUUUGUAACUCAUAUUUUUGUUCACUAAGAUAUUUUGUGAUUGAAAAUUCUGAGCAAAGUGAAAAUGCAAUGAUUUCU
This is a non-coding RNA of Ceratotherium simum simum (southern white rhinoceros), 1713 nucleotides long. NCBI's taxonomy places the organism in Eukaryota, Metazoa, Chordata, Mammalia, Perissodactyla, Rhinocerotidae. The record is from RefSeq and is a predicted model, not a curated record.